UACGGGGGGUGCAAGCGUUGCUCGGAAUCACUGGGCGUAAAGCGUCCGCAGGCGGCUUGGUAAGUCGGGUGUGAAAUCCCGGGGCUCAACCCCGGAACUGCCUUUGAUACUGGUAGUCUCGAGUCCGGAAGAGGUGAGUGGAAUUCCGAGUGUAGAGGUGAAAUUCGUAGAUAUUCGGAGGAACACCAGUGGCGAAGGCGGCUCACUGGUCCGGUACUGACGCUGAGGUGCGAAAGCGUGGGGAGCAAACAGG
This 253-nucleotide ribosomal RNA is filed under the name uncultured bacterium. RNAcentral's name for it is "partial 16S ribosomal RNA". It matches the Rfam family "Bacterial small subunit ribosomal RNA", at positions 524 to 776 of the family's 1533-position model. The record is from RNAcentral.